UACGUAGGGUGCAGGCGUUAAUCGGAAUUACUGGGCGUAAAGCGUGCGCAGGCGGUUUCUUAAGUCAGAUGUGAAAGCCCCGGGCUUAACCUGGGAACUGCGUUUGAAACUGGGAGACUUGAGUGUGGCAGAGGGGGGUGGAAUUCCACGUGUAGCAGUGAAAUGCGUAGAUAUCUGGAGGAACACCGGUGGCGAAGGCGGCAUCCUGGACCAACACUGACGCUGAGGAGCGAAAGCCAGGGGAGCAAACGGG
RNAcentral lists this ribosomal RNA (253 nucleotides) under uncultured bacterium. RNAcentral's name for it is "partial 16S ribosomal RNA". It matches the Rfam family "Bacterial small subunit ribosomal RNA", at positions 524 to 776 of the family's 1533-position model. The record is from RNAcentral.